GUCAGGAAGAGAAAGAAAGAAGGCCUAAGAGUAGUGGGAGUGGGAACAUGAUGGAAAGCCAACGUGUUUGUCUCCUCUCUGACUUUGAAGAGGGAGCCUACGGUGCUUUAUGAUGCCUCCCAUUCCUACCAUUCUUAAGCACUCCUUCCUCUUCCUUUUUGUC
RNAcentral lists this microRNA precursor (163 nucleotides) under Zea mays. RNAcentral describes it as "MIR2118 microRNA precursor family". It matches the Rfam family "MIR2118 microRNA precursor family". Lineage: Eukaryota; Viridiplantae; Streptophyta; Magnoliopsida; Poales; Poaceae. The record is from Rfam by way of RNAcentral.